This 406-nucleotide ribosomal RNA is filed under the name uncultured bacterium. RNAcentral describes it as "partial 16S ribosomal RNA". It matches the Rfam family "Bacterial small subunit ribosomal RNA", at positions 30 to 526 of the family's 1533-position model. The record is from RNAcentral.
AUUGAACGCUGGCGGCAGGCCUAACACAUGCAAGUCGAACGAGUGGCGUACGGGUGAGUAAUGUAUGGGAAACUUCCUGAUGGAGGGGGAUAACUACUGGAAACGGUAGCUAAUACCGCAUACCAUCAGAUGUGCCCAGAUUGGAUUAGCUAGUUGGUGGGGUAACGGGUCACCAAGGCGACGAUCCCUAGCUGGUCUGACAUGAUGACCAUCAACACUGGAACUGAGAAACGGUCCAGACUCCUACGGGAGGCAGAAGUGGGGAAGAUUGCACAAUGGGCGCAAGCCUGAUGCAGCCAUGCGGCGUGUAUGAAGAAGGCCUUCGGGUUGUAAAGUACUUUCAGCGGGGAGGCGUUACCCGCAGAAGAAGCACCGGCUAACUCCGUGCCAGCAGCCGCGGUAAUUC